GAUGAAGAACGCAGUGAAAUGCGAUACGUAAUGUGAAUUGCAAAUUCAGUGAAUCAUCGAGUCUUUGAACGCACAUUGCGCCCCCUGGUAUUCCGGGGGGCAUGCCUGUCCGAGCGUCAUUGCUGCCCUCAAGCACGGCUUGUGUGUUGGGCCCCGUCCUCCGAUGCCGGGGGACGGGCCCGAAAGGCAGCGGCGGCACCGCGUCCGGUCCUCGAGCGUAUGGGGCUUUGUCACCCGCUCUGUAGGCCCGGCCGGCGCUUGCCGAUCAACCCAAAUUUUUAUCCAGGUUGACCUCGGAUCAGGUAGGGAUACCCGCUGAACUUAAGCAUAUCAAUAAGCGGAGGA
Molecule: unclassified non-coding RNA, 345 nt
Filed under: soil metagenome
Description: partial contains 5.8S ribosomal RNA, internal transcribed spacer 2, and large subunit ribosomal RNA
Rfam family: 5.8S ribosomal RNA (bases 1-119)
Source: RNAcentral